AACGGUCUAUACCUGCGGUACCUGCGGAAGGAUCAUUAACGAUUUCGGUGUAAAAAACCGUUUUCUACCUAUGUCUACGCGUACCACUUGUUUCCUCGGGGGGCUUGCCCCCCGCUAGGACCCUUUAUCAAACCUUUUUGUAAUAGCAGUCAGCGUCUGAUACUACGUUAAUUAUUAAAACUUUUAGCAACGGAUCUCU
This 199-nucleotide unclassified non-coding RNA is filed under the name soil metagenome. RNAcentral describes it as "partial contains 5.8S ribosomal RNA, internal transcribed spacer 2, and large subunit ribosomal RNA". The record is from RNAcentral.